UGAUUCAGAUAUUCCUUGGUAGCAGUGGAGGUCACGAUGUUGAAGGAAACGAGCUUCCUCGUCUUGUUUAUGUGUCUCGUGAGAAAAGACCUGGUUUCCUACAUCACAAAAAAGCUGGUGCCAUGAAUGCCCUGGUAAGAAUCAUGAACAUUGUUUUCAAUCUUUUUUUCACACAGAACUCUUUUAACAUUUGUUUACAUAUAUUUUCAGAUUCGAGUUUCCGGGGUACUUACCAACGCUCCUUUCAUGCUGAACUUGGACUGUGACCAUUAUGUGAACAACAGCAAGGCUGCUAGAGAAGCCAUGUGUUUCUUAAUGGACCCUCAGAUAGGAAAAAAGGUCUGCUAUGUUCAGUUCCCUCAAAGAUUUGAUGGUAUUGAUAGGCACGACCGUUAUGCCAACAGAAAUACAGUCUUCUUUGAUGUAAGUCACUGAAAAAUUAUCAAAACAAAUGUUGUUAUGUAAGAAUUAAAGGAAGAGAUUAAGUUGAAAUUUCAUUUAAAUUUGCAGAUUAACAUGAAAGGUCUAGAUGGAAUUCAAGGUCCUGUAUAUGUGGGUACUGGCUGUGUAUUUAGAAGACAAGCUUUAUAUGGCUAUGAACCUCCGAAGGGGCCCAAGCGCCCGAAGAUGGUAAGCUGUGAUUGCUGCCCCUGCUUUGGACGCCGCAAGAAGCAUAGGAAAUAUUCUAAGGGCGAACAAAAUGGAGAAGCCCCUAGCUUUGAAGGUUUGCUUGAUUCUUCAACUUGCUACUUGGACAGUUAAAUAGGGAGGCGCUUAUCUCUUGAAAUUUUCAUAACUAAAUUUACUUACCUCUCUCAAUGAAUAUGUAUGUAUCAGUUGGAAUGGAGGAUGAUAAGGAAUUAUUGAUGUCCCAAAUGAACUUUGAGAAGAAAUUUGGGCAGUCCGCAAUUUUUGUGACUUCAACUUUGAUGGAAGAAGGUGGGGUUCCUCCUUCCUCUAGCCCUGCAGCUCUACUUAAGGAGGCCAUUCAUGUGAUCAGCUGUGGAUAUGAAGAUAAAACUGAAUGGGGGACUGAGGUAAUCGCAAUAAUGACUUAAUAUUUGCCAACAUUCCAUUCCCAGAUUUCUGAUAUCUUUAACCUGGAUUAAGAGGAAUUGUGCUAGGAUGUAAAUGCAGGAUCAUAUAGUAAACCAUGAAUGACUCAUCAUAAACACGAAAUUCUAAAUCAUUUGAAAUUCUGUUACUUCUUUAUGUGCAGCUGGGUUGGAUUUACGGAUCAAUUACAGAGGAUAUUCUAACAGGUUUCAAGAUGCAUUGUCGUGGUUGGAGGUCUAUAUACUGUAUGCCAAAGAGACCCGCAUUUAAGGGUUCUGCUCCCAUCAACUUGUCUGAUCGGCUCAACCAAGUGCUUCGAUGGGCACUUGGAUCUGUUGAAAUCUUCUUUAGUCGCCACAGUCCUGUUUGGUAUGGCUACAAGGGAGGCAAUCUCAAGUGGCUAGAGAGAUUUGCAUAUGUGAAUACUACUAUUUACCCUUUUACCUCUGUACCUCUCCUUGCUUACUGCCUCCUCCCUGCUAUCUGCCUGCUUACUGAUAAAUUCAUCAUGCCAUCUGUAAGUAAAACAAUUCUUGUUUUCACUAGAUGAAAUUAAAUGAAUUCUGCAUAUAAAUAAACUUACUCCGGCUUCAAUCCCAAUGCAGAUAAGUACAUUGGCAAGUCUCUUCUUCAUUGCCCUCUUUGUUUCAAUCUUUGCUACCGGUAUCCUUGAGAUGAAGUGG
Molecule: long non-coding RNA, 1739 nt
Filed under: Carica papaya (papaya)
Lineage: Eukaryota; Viridiplantae; Streptophyta; Magnoliopsida; Brassicales; Caricaceae
Description: long non-coding RNA (CPAP_LNC008964)
Source: RNAcentral